Echinops telfairi (small Madagascar hedgehog) is the source of this 67-nucleotide non-coding RNA. Lineage: Eukaryota; Metazoa; Chordata; Mammalia; Afrosoricida; Tenrecidae. The record is from Ensembl.
CAGGGGGUAGUUUAAUAAGAAUAUCAGCUUUGGGUGCUGAUGGUAGGACUGAGUGUCUUUUCCCUGA